GAAAACAUUUUAAAAAAUUGUAAAGAUAUGGAGAAGAUGAGCAUGGUCCCUGAAUAGGAAUAAAUGCAAAUUUGGGAAGUGUUCCACAUUUUU
This 93-nucleotide small nuclear RNA is filed under the name Suricata suricatta (meerkat). Lineage: Eukaryota; Metazoa; Chordata; Mammalia; Carnivora; Herpestidae. The record is from RNAcentral.